GAAUCAUGUAGCUAUUUAAUACAUAUAGUGGAACAUUCGACGAUAGCUUAACAGUUGAACUAUCUACAUAUAUUGCCUAAAUAAAUAAAUGGUGUAGUAACUUCGUCGAGUCAAGAAUCAAACGAAUAGGCCAUCUAGUAGGAACUUGGUGGAAAUAUUGUUUAGAUUAAAUAAUAUUGGUUAAUUUCAGCAUGUAAAUGGUCUAGGAUUAAAAUUGGAAUUGCUAAUCUGCUUUAUCUGUCGAGUUAAAUGAGCUCUUAGGACUUGGAUUUGGUCAUUUGCUCUCCCCUUCAGUGAGCACACAUGAGAUGCCGACCAUUUCACCUCAUUAGCACUUGUGAUUUAUUUAAAUGAUGGUUUUUUUUUUUAGAUUCAUAACAAAUUUGAUUGAUUAAAAUUUUAAAACUGAAUUGUUAUUCUAUUCACCAUAGAUGCAAAAUACCCACAACUAAAUUUGAGCUACAGAAAGACUAGUUUCAUUUUUUCUUUCAGCUUCAUUCGUAGACCUCAUCACGUUGGCGACAUAGACCCGUAUAAGAACCAACAGAGAAACAGUAGUCAUUUUCAUUAUUUUCCUUGGCUUCUUUCAGGUUUGCAGCCAAACGACUAGAAAUUGAGGUUGGUUCAUCAUCUGACAAUUCACUUUCAGAUUCAAUGAAAAUCCUUCUGAAACCUUUGCCAUUUGUUCUGCGAAGUCGGCCUUUGUCCACUGAUCUUCAGAAUUCCUGUUCUGGUCAGUUGAACCCUCAGCUGGUCCUUCUUGAAACCGGUGUGACAUAUGAAAUCAAUACAUAGCAGAAGAUAGAGAAUAACCUUUUAAGUUUAGCAAUGAAAAUUAUAAAGAAAAUAACAAUAUUCGUGCGUGAAGUGGAUAUAUAACUUCUGAGAAUACUGACUCAACCACUCCACCACAAUCCUUAUUAGUCGGAUUUGAAUAUGUCAAUGCCUUUAGAUGUAUCCUUUUUACUCUUCUUGCAAAUCUUACAGGGCUGAAA
Non-coding RNA from Nicotiana tabacum (common tobacco), 995 nucleotides. The record is from RefSeq and is a predicted model, not a curated record. Lineage: Eukaryota; Viridiplantae; Streptophyta; Magnoliopsida; Solanales; Solanaceae.